AUCUGAAGCUAUUGUGUCUUUGAAUAGCAACAUCAGGUUAGGUCUCCCUGUUUUUAUUUUCCUGAAUCUGCCAACAUAGGAUGCACAAGUUUGAAUGUUGUAAAGUUUUUCUUUAUCUUCAUCUUUUUAAAAAAUAAUUUAGUGUUUUGGUCUAGGGUAAUGUGCAGCUGUCUCCAAAACAACAUAGCCAAGGUAGUGCCAGUGAAGUACUCAAAGAAUGGACAGUAACAGGCAAGAAAAAGAACAAAAAGAAGAAAAACAAACCGAAACCUGCCGCAGAACCAAGUAACAGCAUCCCAGAUUCCAGUAAAUCAGUUUCCAUUCAAGAGGAACAGUCUGCGCCUUCCUCAGAGAAAGGUGGUAUGAAUGGCUACCAUGUCAAUGGUGCCAUCAAUGACACUGAGUCUGUGGACUCACUCAGUGAAGGUUUGGAGACACUUUCAAUAGAUGCCAGAGAAUUGGAGGAUCCCGAGUCUGCCAUGCUAGAUACGCUGGAUAGAACAGGAUCCAUGCUGCAGAAUGGUGUCUCUGAUUUUGAGACCAAGUCUUUGACUAUGCACU
This 561-nucleotide small RNA is filed under the name Pan troglodytes (chimpanzee). RNAcentral's name for it is "processed transcript". The record is from RNAcentral. Lineage: Eukaryota; Metazoa; Chordata; Mammalia; Primates; Hominidae.